UACGGGGGGAGCAAGCGUUGUUCGGAAUUACUGGGCGUAAAGGGCUCGUAGGCGGCCAACUAAGUCGGAUGUGAAAUCCCCAGGCUCAACCUGGGAACUGCAUCCGAUACUGGAUGGCUUGAAUCCGGGAGAGGGAUGCAGAAUUCCAGGUGUAGCGGUGAAAUGCGUAGAUAUCUGGAGGAAUACCGGUGGCGAAGGCGGCAUCCUGGACCGGCAUUGACGCUGAGGAGCGAAAGCUAGGGGAGCAAACGGG
Molecule: ribosomal RNA, 253 nt
Filed under: uncultured bacterium
Lineage: Bacteria
Description: partial 16S ribosomal RNA
Rfam family: Bacterial small subunit ribosomal RNA
Source: RNAcentral